ACGCUGCACCUUUUAAAUCUGCUGUUGUGAUUGUGUUUCUAAUCCAGGACAGGUUUCCUGCAGUCAUGGUCAAAUGUUUGGAUCAGUGGUGGAGGUCACAGUCAAACCAGGAGACAACUUCACUCUCUACUGUGACUGCAAAGUGGCAACUGGAGUUUACAUAGUGUGGUUCAGGAACAGCUACAAUGAGAACAAGCCCACUCUCAUUAUGAAAACAUUUCAACGAAAGAACUACAACCCUGAUGGUACCAAUUAUCUCAUGUCCAUCUUAAAUUUUCACUUUGUGAGGAAUUCUUCUUCGAAUUCCUAUGACCUGCUGAUUAAGGACUUCACUGAUUCUAAUGAGGGUCUGUACUACUGCGGAACAGAAGAGAGCAAGGUGGAGGACGAAGAAUACAUAACCCAAAAAUUGAUUUACAAUUACGGCAAUAUUACAAGACUCAUAUGUAACUCCAGCCUUCAGGUUCCACAUGACGAGAGGCAACAAGGCUGUGGUUCCUGCUGGACGCUGCUGUUUGCUCUGUGUCCCGUAUUUGCCAUUUUCUCCUGUCUUCUCACCUCACUAGUGGUUUAUUACCGAUGUCAGAACAAAGGUAUCAACUUUAGGUUGAAUCUAACACUGUACAUGUAA
This 631-nucleotide long non-coding RNA is filed under the name Betta splendens (Siamese fighting fish). RNAcentral's name for it is "lncRNA (ENSBSLG00000022678.1)". The record is from RNAcentral. Lineage: Eukaryota; Metazoa; Chordata; Actinopteri; Anabantiformes; Osphronemidae.